AGGCAGAGAUGUACGAAUGAAGUGAGAGAGAGAGAGUGAGAUUUGUCAGAUAAAGUAGCGGAGUUUGAGAGAGAGAGUAGCGGAGGAUUUUUGCAAAAACAACCUUCUUCAACUAAAAUGCGUUCGCAUAAUUCUUGUUCAACAUGAAGCACGCUGAGAAAAGCUAGCCCAGGUCUAGUGGCUGCUGCAUGAGAGAAUCUGAAGUUAUUAAACAUUAGUAGCCGACUGCAUAUGUAUUUUUCUGAAGUUGUGAGAAACAUUAAUAGCUGACUGCAUAUAUAGUUUCCUGGAAUUGAAAUGUCAAUUGGAUCUUUGUUCUUCA
Long non-coding RNA from Asparagus officinalis (garden asparagus), 322 nucleotides. RefSeq lists it as uncharacterized. Lineage: Eukaryota; Viridiplantae; Streptophyta; Magnoliopsida; Asparagales; Asparagaceae. The transcript is spliced from 2 exons. The record is from RefSeq and is a predicted model, not a curated record.